GGACGCUAUGAUACACUCGUGCCUUAUGUGCCACCGAAGCCCCGAAGUGGUCUGGCAUAUACCUUCACAUAUAUGCAAUGGCAAGCCCUUCCGUGUGUUCCAAAGACAAUGCCUACGCCUAGCCACAGCAGCUCCCUCAUACAGACUCCACAAACCAAGAGGCCGUGGAGCCAAAUGCAGGUAAGAGACAAUAAGCAAUAGCACUGGUAUCGACAUUCAUCUAAUUUCUUUUUAUUUCAU
This is a non-coding RNA of Dermacentor albipictus, 240 nucleotides long. The record is from RefSeq and is a predicted model, not a curated record. Lineage: Eukaryota; Metazoa; Arthropoda; Arachnida; Ixodida; Ixodidae.